Molecule: ribosomal RNA, 442 nt
Filed under: uncultured bacterium
Lineage: Bacteria
Description: partial 16S ribosomal RNA
Rfam family: Bacterial small subunit ribosomal RNA
Source: RNAcentral
CCUACGGGCGGCAGCAGUGGGGAAUAUUGGGCAAUGGGCGCAAGCCUGACCCAGCAACGCCGCGUGAAGGAAGAAGGCUUUCGGGUUGUAAACCUCUUUUGAUAGGGAAGAGCAGAAGACGGUACCUGUCGAAUAAGCCACGGCUAAUUACGUGCCAGCAGCCGCGGUAAUACGUAGGUGGCAAGCGUUGUCCGGAUUUACUGGGUGUAAAGGGCGUGUAGCCGGGCUGACAAGUCAGAUGUGAAAUCCGGGGGCUCAACCGCCGAACUGCAUUUGAUACUGGUAGUCUUGAGUAUAGGAGAGGCAGGCGGAAUUCCUGGUGUAGCGGUGAAAUGCGUAGAUAUUAGGAGGAACACCGGUGGCGAAGGCGGCCUGCUGGACGGCAACUGACGGUGAGGCGCGAAAGCGUGGGGAGCAAACAGGAUUAGAUACCCGAGUAGUC